Molecule: transfer RNA, 71 nt
Filed under: Crassvirales sp.
Lineage: Duplodnaviria; Heunggongvirae; Uroviricota; Caudoviricetes; Crassvirales
Description: tRNA-Gln
Rfam family: tRNA
About the family: Transfer RNA (tRNA) molecules are approximately 80 nucleotides in length. Their secondary structure includes four short double-helical elements and three loops (D, anti-codon, and T loops). Further hydrogen bonds mediate the characteristic L-shaped molecular structure. tRNAs have two regions of fundamental functional importance: the anti-codon, which is responsible for specific mRNA codon recognition, and the 3' end, to which the tRNAs corresponding amino acid is attached (by aminoacyl-tRNA synthetases). tRNAs cope with the degeneracy of the genetic code in two manners: having more than one tRNA (with a specific anti-codon) for a particular amino acid; and 'wobble' base-pairing, i.e. permitting non-standard base-pairing at the 3rd anti-codon position.
Source: RNAcentral
UGUCUUGUGGUGUAAAGGUAACACAUGGGCCUUUGGUCCCCACAUUGUAGGUUCGAGUCCUGCCAAGACAA